UACGUAGGGGGCGAGCGUUGUCCGGAUUUAUUGGGCGUAAAGAGCGUGUAGGCGGUUCGGUAAGUCUGUCGUGAAAUCCUGAGGCUCAACCUCGGGCGUGCGAUGGAUACUGCCGGGCUAGAGGGUGGUAGAGGCGAGUGGAAUUCCUGGUGUAGCGGUGAAAUGCGCAGAUAUCAGGAAGAACACCCGUGGCUAAGGCGGUUCUCUAGUACGGUACUGACGCUGAGACGCGAAAGCGUGGGGAGCGAACAGG
This 253-nucleotide ribosomal RNA is filed under the name uncultured bacterium. RNAcentral describes it as "partial 16S ribosomal RNA". It matches the Rfam family "Bacterial small subunit ribosomal RNA", at positions 524 to 776 of the family's 1533-position model. The record is from RNAcentral.